RNAcentral lists this ribosomal RNA (650 nucleotides) under Paenibacillus zanthoxyli. Its description in RNAcentral is "bacterial SSU rRNA". It matches the Rfam family "Bacterial small subunit ribosomal RNA", at positions 94 to 716 of the family's 1533-position model. The record is from RNAcentral. Lineage: Bacteria; Bacillati; Bacillota; Bacilli; Caryophanales; Paenibacillaceae.
AGCGGCGGACGGGUGAGUAACACGUAGGCAACCUGCCCCUUGGACUGGGAUAACUACCGGAAACGGUAGCUAAUACCGGAUAAUUCCUCUUAGUUCCUGCUAAGAGGCUGAAAGGCGGAGCAAUCUGUCACCAAGGGAUGGGCCUGCGGCGCAUUAGCUAGUUGGUGGGGUAACGGCUCACCAAGGCGACGAUGCGUAGCCGACCUGAGAGGGUGAACGGCCACACUGGGACUGAGACACGGCCCAGACUCCUACGGGAGGCAGCAGUAGGGGAAUCUUCCCGCAAUGGGGCGAAAGCCUGGACGGAGCAACGCCGCGUGAGUGGAUGAAGGUUUUCGGGAUCGUAAAGCUCUGUUGCCAGGGAAGAACGUUCUCCAAGAGUAACCUGCUAGAGAAGUGACGGUACCUGAGAAAGAAAGCCCCGGCUAACUAACGUGCCAGCAGCCGCGGGUAAUUACGUAGGGGGGCAAGCGGUUGUUCCGGAAUUAUUUGGGCGUAAAGCGCGCGGCAGGCGGCUGUUUAAGUCUUGUGUUUAAACCAUGGGCUCAACUGUGGUCGCACUGGAAACUGGGCAGCCUUGAGUGCAGAAGAGGAAAGUGGAAUUCCACGUGUAGCGUGAAAUGCGUAGAGUAUGUGAGGACACACGUGGC